This is a long non-coding RNA of Sapajus apella (tufted capuchin), 129 nucleotides long. RefSeq lists it as uncharacterized. Lineage: Eukaryota; Metazoa; Chordata; Mammalia; Primates; Cebidae. The transcript is spliced from 2 exons. The record is from RefSeq and is a predicted model, not a curated record.
CAGGUGGGGCGACGGAUACCUGUAAUCCCAGCACUUUGGGAGACUGAGGCAGGUGGGUUACCCCAGGUCAGGAGUUCAAGACCAGCCUGGCCAACACGGUGAAACUCCAUCUCUACAAAAAUACAAAAA